This 408-nucleotide ribosomal RNA is filed under the name bacterium enrichment culture clone ALO1_GLFRUDD03GDDKA. RNAcentral describes it as "bacterial SSU rRNA". It matches the Rfam family "Bacterial small subunit ribosomal RNA", at positions 9 to 417 of the family's 1533-position model. The record is from RNAcentral.
GAGUUUGAUCAUGGCUCAGAUUGAACGCUGGCGGCAUGCCUUACACAUGCAAGUCGAACGGCAGCACGGGAGCUUGCUCCUGGUGGCGAGUGGCGAACGGGUGAGUAAUGCAUCGGAACGUAUCCUGGAGUGGGGGAUAACGUAGCGAAAGUUACGCUAAUACCGCAUAUUCUGUGAGCAGGAAAGCGGGGGACCUUCGGGCCUCGCGCUCUUGGAGCGGCCGAUGUCGGAUUAGCUAGUUGGUGAGGUAAAGGCUCACCAAGGCGACGAUCCGUAGCAGGUCUGAGAGGAUGAUCUGCCACACUGGAACUGGGACACGGUCCAGACUCCUACGGGAGGCAGCAGUGGGGAAUUUUGGACAAUGGGGGCAACCCUGAUCCAGCCAUGCCGCGUGAGUGAAGAAGGCCU